This 492-nucleotide ribosomal RNA is filed under the name uncultured bacterium. RNAcentral describes it as "partial 16S ribosomal RNA". It matches the Rfam family "Bacterial small subunit ribosomal RNA", at positions 29 to 507 of the family's 1533-position model. The record is from RNAcentral.
AGUGAACGCUGGCGGUAGGCCUAACACAUGCAAGUCGAACGGCGGCACAGUAAGAGCUUGCCCUUACGGGUGGCGAGUGGCGGACGGGUGAGGAAUACAUCGGAAUCUACUUUUUCGUGGGGGAUAACGUAGGGAAGCUUACGCUAAUACCGCAUACGACCUACGGGUGAAAGCAGGGGAUCUUCGGACCUUGCGCGAUUGAAUGAGCCGAUGUCGGAUUAGCUAGUUGGCGGGGUAAAGGCCCACCAAGGCGACGAUCCGUAGCUGGUCUGAGAGGAUGAUCAGCCACACUGGAACUGAGACACGGUCCAGACUCCUACGGGAGGCAGCAGUGGGGAAUAUUGGACAAUGGGCGCAAGCCUGAUCCAGCCAUACCGCGUGGGUGAAGAAGGCCUUCGGGUUGUAAAGCCCUUUUGUUGGGAAAGAAAAGCAGCAGGUUAAUACCCCGCUGUUCUGACGGUACCCAAAGAAUAAGCACCGGCUAACUUCGUG